Molecule: ribosomal RNA, 573 nt
Filed under: Leptogium cyanescens
Lineage: Eukaryota; Fungi; Ascomycota; Lecanoromycetes; Peltigerales; Collemataceae
Description: eukaryotic LSU rRNA
Rfam family: 5.8S ribosomal RNA (bases 210-363)
Source: RNAcentral
GUCGUAACAAGGUCGCUGUAGGUGAACCUGCAGCGGGAUCAUUACCGGCUGCUGGGGGUUUCGGCCCCCAUCUUCCACCCGUGUCUUCUCACCGUCGAAUGUUGCUUCGGCGGGGGGCUCCUUUGGGGGCCCAAGCCCGCCGGAGAUCAAUUAUAGGUCGAUCGAAUUUCAUUGAACGUCUGAACCGGAAAUGAUUAGAAUCCAACUAAAACUUUCAGCAACGGAUCUCUUGGUUCCGGCAUCGAUGAAGAACGCAGCGAAAUGCGAUAAGUAAUGUGAAUUGCAGAACCCAGUGAACCAUCGAAUCUUUGAACGCACAUUGCGCCCCCCGGCAUCCCGGGGGGCAUGCCCGUCCGAGCGUCAUUGCCAUCUCGAGCCCCGGGCUCGGUGCUGGGCUGUGUCCCCCGGGAGAACCCGGGGGACAGGCCCCGAAAGCAGUGGCGGCCCGGGGGCGACCGCCAGCGCGAUGGCGACAUCGCUGGGCAAGCGUCGCUCCGGGCUGGCGCCAGGCCAACCGAACGAACAACACCACUUUGACCUCGGAUCGGGCAGGGGUACCCGCUGAACUUAAGC